RNAcentral lists this ribosomal RNA (253 nucleotides) under uncultured bacterium. RNAcentral's name for it is "partial 16S ribosomal RNA". It matches the Rfam family "Bacterial small subunit ribosomal RNA", at positions 524 to 776 of the family's 1533-position model. The record is from RNAcentral.
UACGUAGGGUGCAAGCGUUGUCCGGAAUUAUUGGGCGUAAAGAGCUCGUAGGCGGUCUGUUGCGUCGGCUGUGAAAACCCGGGGCUCAACCCCGGGCCUGCAGCCGAUACGGGCAGACUAGAGUUCGGCAGGGGAGACUGGAAUUCCUGGUGUAGCGGUGAAAUGCGCAGAUAUCAGGAAGAACACCCGUGGCGAAGGCGGCUCUCUGGAACGCAACUGACGCUGAGACGCGAAAGCGUGGGGAGCAAACAGG